UACGUAGGGUGCAAGCGUUGUCCGGAAUUAUUGGGCGUAAAGAGCUCGUAGGCGGUCUGUCGCGUCUGCUGUGAAAACUCAGGGCUUAACCCUGAGCUUGCAGUGGGUACGGGCAGACUAGAGUGCGGUAGGGGAGACUGGAAUUCCUGGUGUAGCGGUGAAAUGCGCAGAUAUCAGGAGGAACACCAAUGGCGAAGGCAGCUCUCUGGGACGGUACUGACGCUGAGACGCGAAAGCGUGGGGAGCGAACAGG
Molecule: ribosomal RNA, 253 nt
Filed under: uncultured bacterium
Lineage: Bacteria
Description: partial 16S ribosomal RNA
Rfam family: Bacterial small subunit ribosomal RNA
Source: RNAcentral